Molecule: ribosomal RNA, 481 nt
Filed under: uncultured bacterium
Lineage: Bacteria
Description: partial 16S ribosomal RNA
Rfam family: Bacterial small subunit ribosomal RNA
Source: RNAcentral
AUUGAACGCUGGCGGCAUGCUUUACACAUGCAAGUCGAACGGUAACAGGCCGCAAGGUGCUGACGAGUGGCGCACGGGUGAGUAAUGCAUCGGAACGUGCCCAGUCGUGGGGGAUAACUACUCGAAAGAGUAGCUAAUACCGCAUACGAUCUAUGGAUGAAAGCGGGGGACCGUAAGGCCUCGCGCGAUUGGAGCGGCCGAUGUCAGAUUAGGUAGUUGGUGGGGUAAAGGCUCACCAAGCCAACGAUCUGUAGCUGGUCUGAGAGGACGACCAGCCACACUGGGACUGAGACACGGCCCAGACUCCUACGGGAGGCAGCAGUUGGGAAUUUUGGACAAUGGGCGCAAGCCUGAUCCAGCAAUGCCGCGUGCAGGAAGAAGGCCUUCGGGUUGUAAACUGCUUUUGUACGGAACGAAACGGCUCUGGUUAAUACCCGGGGCUAAUGACGGUACCGUAAGAAUAAGCACCGGCUAACUACGU